RNAcentral lists this long non-coding RNA (1366 nucleotides) under Homo sapiens (human). Its description in RNAcentral is "HSALNT0364961". The record is from RNAcentral. Lineage: Eukaryota; Metazoa; Chordata; Mammalia; Primates; Hominidae.
GAGCCAUCUUGCCCAGCCUAGUACAAAGUUUCUAAAAUUACUUUUUCUCUUUUUGUUCAUUGUGAAUAGUUUCUAAUGCUAUGACUUCAUCUUUACUAAUCUUUUCUUUUGCAAUGUCCAAUUAGCGAUUUUCAAUAUAAUCUUCAUUUUAAUCAUUGUAGUAUUCCUCAUAACUUUUUUGGGAGGAUCUUUUCAAUGUCUUUUUUCUUUUUUUAAAUUUCAAGUUAUUUACCUGAUCAUGGAUCUUUUUUUAUAUCUUUGUUGUCUCUACCUACAUUUUGAACAUUUAAAAUAUACUUUAUAGUAAUUUUUAAUGUCCUCAUCUGCUAAUUCUAGUAUCUUUGUUGGUUCGGGGUUGGUGUCCCACCCUCCUCAUUAGUAGAUGUGUUUUUGUGCUCUUUAUAUGCUUUAUAAUUUUAAUUGUAUGCUGGGCAUUCUGAAUUUUACCCAUAAAGUAAAAUUAUUAUAGUAUUUGUAUUUCUAUAAAUAAUCGUGAGUUUUGUUCUGGGACACAGUUAAGUUACUUAUAAACAAUAGUGUCCCUUCAGGACUUGCUUUUAAGGUUUGUUAGGUGGCAUUUGACAAGUAUUUAGUCUUGGGUUAAUUCACCCCAUUAGUGAGGCAAGACUCUUGAAUACUCUAAUAGGUAGAUGCCUCAUGAGUUAUGAAAUGUCCCAUUCUGGCUAGUGGGAACAGACACUGAUUGUGGUCAUAUGUGAGUGCUGAGAAGUAUUCCCUCUCAUUCUUUUGGGACAUCCUUUCUCCAUCUUUAGGUAGUUUCUUCAAACCUGUAUACUGAUCAGCUGUCUCAUGAAUACGGGAGAAAACCUGCAGGUCUCCGAGAGUUCUCUCCCUGUGCAACUUAUCGCUUUUCAGUGCUGUGUACCGGCCAUUCCAGCUGCCUUUGUUUCGCUGGACUCUCAGCUGUGUCUUCUGAACUCAAUUACUCUAGUUUGAUGUCAUAAUUUCUCAUGGAGUUAAAACUGGACUCUUCAAAAUGAUAGAGUUGUCUGAAUUUGGCUGCAAUGCGAACUACUAAUCGAUUCAAGCUUGUUAUCAAGACACCUAGAGAUCACCAGCGACAGACGGUAAAGCCAAAAGAUCUGUCAUCCUUUAUUCCUUCCCAGACCACUGGAGGGAUGUAAACAGCAGUUAUCAGUUAUCAGCAAUAAACCCUUAUAUCAACAUUUAUCAAGAUAAAGUUUCACAAAACAGGAAGAGAAGAGAUAUCAUUAUUAACCACCACAGGGUGGAAGCAACAAGAGUGUCCAUUAAUGGAUUAAUGUAUACAAAAUGUGAUACAUACAUACAAUGAAAUAUUAUUCAGCUUGAAAAAGGAAGAACAUUCUGACACAUGCUACAACAU